Molecule: ribosomal RNA, 412 nt
Filed under: uncultured Rhizophagus
Lineage: Eukaryota; Fungi; Glomeromycota; Glomeromycetes; Glomerales; Glomeraceae
Description: partial 28S ribosomal RNA
Source: RNAcentral
GAGAGUUAAAUAGUACGUGAAAUUGUUGAAAGGGAAACGAUUGAAGCCAGUCGUACCUAUGGGUAAUCAGCCUUUUGGGUGUGAUUUUGUGGAGCGUGAGGAGUUAAACGCCUUCAUGCCUGCAUAUUCGUGCACUUUGGGUGUACUUGCCCGUAUGGUUGGUUAACAUCAAUUUUGGUGGUCAUAAAAUGACUGGAGGAAUGUAGCUUCGAUCUCGUAUUGAAGUGUUAUAGCCUUCGGUAGAUGUGAUGAUCGAGAUUGAGGAUUGCAACGGAUACCCUUCGGGGCUACCUGUCUGAUCUCUGAUCGUUGCUCUGGUGCCGAAAGCUUGCUUACGGUUAUCAAAGUCGAUGGUCAAUAGGUUAGAACGGGUUAAAUUCGUUAAGGAUGUUGACGUAAUGGCUUUAAACGA